UACGUAGGGUGCGAGCGUUAAUCGGAAUUACUGGGCGUAAAGCGUGCGUAGGUGGUGAGUUAAGUCUGUCGUGAAAGCCCCGGGCUCAACCUGGGAAUGGCGAUGGAUACUGGCUCGCUAGAGUGCGGUAGAGGAGAGUGGAAUUCCCGGUGUAGCAGUGAAAUGCGUAGAGAUCGGGAGGAACAUCGGUUGCGAAGGCAGCCCCCUGGGAUAACACUGACGCUCAUGUACGAAAGCGUGGGUAGCAAACAGG
This 253-nucleotide ribosomal RNA is filed under the name uncultured bacterium. RNAcentral describes it as "partial 16S ribosomal RNA". It matches the Rfam family "Bacterial small subunit ribosomal RNA", at positions 524 to 776 of the family's 1533-position model. The record is from RNAcentral.